Molecule: non-coding RNA, 24 nt
Filed under: Arabidopsis thaliana (thale cress)
Lineage: Eukaryota; Viridiplantae; Streptophyta; Magnoliopsida; Brassicales; Brassicaceae
Source: RNAcentral
AGAAACCGCAACCUUCCGAGGAUC